GACGAACGCUGGCGGCGUGCUUAACACAUGCAAGUCGAACGGAAAGGCCCUGCUUUUGUGGGGUGCUUGAGUGGCGCACGGGUGAGUAACACGUGAGUAACCUGCCCCUGACUUUGGGAUAACAUCAGGAAACUGGGGCUAAUACCGGAUAGGAGCUUCUGCUGCAUGGUGGGGGUUGGUAAGUUUCGGCGGUUGGGGAUGGACGCGCGGCUUAUCAGCUUGUUGGUGGGGUAGUGGCUUACCAAGGGUUUGACGGGUAGCCGGCCUGGGAGGGUGACCGGCCACAUUAGGACUGAGAUACGGCCCAGACUCCUACGGGACGCAGCAGUGGGGAAUAUUGCACAAUGGGCGGAAGCCUGAUGCAGCAACGCCGCGUGCGGAAUGACGGCCUUCUGGUUGUAAACCGCUUUCGCCGGUGACGAAGCGUUAGUGACGGUAAUGGGUAAAGAAGCACCGGCUAACUACGUG
This 468-nucleotide ribosomal RNA is filed under the name uncultured bacterium. RNAcentral describes it as "partial 16S ribosomal RNA". It matches the Rfam family "Bacterial small subunit ribosomal RNA", at positions 28 to 507 of the family's 1533-position model. The record is from RNAcentral.